CUACGUGCCAGCAGCCGCGGUAAUACGUAGGUGGCAAGCGUUGUCCGGAAUUAUUGGGCGUAAAGGGCGCGCAGGCGGCUUCUUAAGUCUGUCUUAAAAGUGCGGGGCUUAACCCCGUGAUGGGAUGGAAACUGGGAAGCUCAGAGUAUCGGAGAGGAAAGCGGAAUUCCUAGUGUAGCGGUGAAAUGCGUAGAUAUUAGGAGGAACACCAGUGGCGAAAGCGGCUUUCUGGACGAAAACUGACGCUGAGGCGCGAAAGCCAGGGGAGCGAACGGGAUUAGAUACCCCGGUAGUCCUGGCCGUAAACGAUGGGUACUAGGUGUAGGAGGUAUCGACCCCUUCUGUGCCGGAGUUAACGCAAUAAGUACCCCGCCUGGGGAGUACGACCGCAAGGUUGAAACUCAAAGGAAUUGACGGGGGCCCGCACAAGCGGUGGAGUAUGUGGUUUAAUUCGACGCAACGCGAAGAACCUUACCAGGUCUUGACAU
Molecule: ribosomal RNA, 488 nt
Filed under: uncultured bacterium
Lineage: Bacteria
Description: bacterial SSU rRNA
Rfam family: Bacterial small subunit ribosomal RNA
Source: RNAcentral